Molecule: long non-coding RNA, 15051 nt
Filed under: Pelobates cultripes (western spadefoot toad)
Lineage: Eukaryota; Metazoa; Chordata; Amphibia; Anura; Pelobatidae
Source: RNAcentral
CUGUGGGCUAAUACGACAAGAUCUGAUGGAGUCAUUGAAACCCAUCCAUUGCUGGAAAUUAGGAUAUUCUCCCCUGCUGAGGUAAUACUGGUUUCCUCUAUAGUUGGGGUGCUCAUACAGAAUCCAGUUUCCACUUUCCACUCGGAUGGAAUUACAGCACUGAAAAUAUGAGGACAUAUCUGGACACUCAGAGGUGCACUCAUAAGAGCGGCCCUGGAAGUUACGAUCCUCGUAGAAGACAAUCUGUGAAAGAACCGUGCAUUUGAACAUUUUAGAUUUUUUUUGUUUAUUAUUGUUUUAGUGGUUAAUAAUUUCAUUUAAAUAGUUUCUGGUUUGAUUACUUCAUGCUACAGAUUCCUAAAAACAUCUACUAUUAUCCUGUUCAAAUAAUAUAGUGUAGGAGUUAAACAUAUAAGUUUAGGGAAGAAUUGGAAUAUAUGUUUUUGGUACAUUUUGCGUUUUCGAUUGGUGAAUUUGCAUUCACUUUCACAUAAUUAUAGCAAUUUAUUAUGGUGAAUAGUGGCAUUCACUACAAAGUACUUUCAAAGACAGAAAAAAAUCUUAAUCUUGAGUCUGAAAAAAGUAAACAUGUGAUGCAUGUGUUCUGAUUAAUUCUUAUUUGAGGAGGCGGCAAAUGUCCAAAACUGGUUUACGAAAGAUAUUUUGUUGGCAUGUUUCUGGACUAGAUAAAUUUACCACAGUAUAUUGUUCAGCAGUUAAAGUUUGCUGGCAUUCAGUGUAAGCAUUUAACAUUUUAAUUUGUUUUUGUUCAUUUAAAAAAUCUGUUUAUUGUUUUCAAAAUUUCUUGUGUUGCCAAUAUUUACAAUAUUCAGAUAAUCUUACCUUUCCCAUUUUCAGUGAUGGUUGAUCUGCUCAUGCAAGUUGUGCUGUUACACAGAACGAAGAGCCUAUAUAUAUAUAUAUAUAUAUAUAUAUAUAUAUAUAUAUAUAUAUUGUUUACCUUGCUGAUGCUUAAAUACAUUGAAAAGAGUGCUGAGCUGGUUUCUUUUCACCAGUAACUAGAAUAUAUAGCUAUUGUAUACUAUAUGCUUCAGUAUUGCUAUUGUAUUGUAUCAUAUAUGCUUUUUUUGUUUACCUGCUGGCACAAGCAGUUCCUGGUUCUAAGAGAUAUCUAGAGAAAAUGUGACAUGCCUUUUUUUAAAUAGAUUAUUUGUAUUCCUACCAUGGAAAAAAAAUAUUUUAAAGCAUAUUUUACAAAAAGAAAAGAAAACAAGGUUAGAGAUUAUUGACAAUUGUUCUGCAACUUAAGUUCUGUUUUUUAAGAUAUUAUUAUUAUUAUUAUUAUUAUUAUUAUUAUUAUUAUUAUUAUUAUGGGGCUAAAUCAUACAUAUUAUAUUAAUUAUGUUUAUAAUAGAUACAUGUAAGAUGUAAUUUGAAACUAAAGUAUGUUCAUGUCAAAUGCAUCAGUUAUAAUCACUGCCAUUUAUUCAUCCCAUUAGACCUCCUGAACUCCUGAAUUGUGUUUGUAUUUUCAACGUUAUCACAAUCCAAAACAUUUGAACUAUUAAAAAUAAAGUUACAACUUGACUUAUCUCUUAUUGGUAUUCACAGUAUCUCAUAAUCAUGGAGUUAACGAGAAAGUAAAUGGUGCUCUUUGUGGUUACAUCACAUAUUUAAUGUUAUUAUUCUGAAUAAUCUUUAUUUUGUUUCCGCAGUAAUAAAAUUACAUCCACACUUUUGCAUGCCUAGGCAUUUACAAACAAAACACAAUAACAAACCAAAAACAGUUGAGAGGAGAGAAGACUGAGUUCUAUAAUAGAAGCAUGUAAAUGCAAAUUAUAGAUUAGAUUAUUAUAAAAAUAACUCCCUUUUAACUAUUAGAGCUGAAAAACGUAAAUGCUUUUUGAAGACAACAUACUUGUAUUCUUUUGUUUUUAGCUGAUGAGUUAUUAAUCCAACUAUUAAUCCAAUUUGCGUUUUUCAUUUUACAUUGGAAAAUAAUUUGAUUUUUCCAUUGUCAAUACAUAAUUUCUUGGGAUUGUUUCCAACCUCUUGCUAUUAAAUCAAGACUGGUGGUUCCCAUUACCAACCAAAAGUCACUUUGCUCUAAGAAUCAUGGUUAAAAACUAAAAUACCAGACUCUGCAAAUUGCAAUAUAUGGGUGUAAUGAAAGCAACUUUGCCACUGCCCUGGGACUAUGGGCCCUAUGAUAACCUAUGUUCAAAAGUACUGUUUCUGCCCCUUGGACUUUUACAUUGCUGUAUUGGUCCAGAUGUGUGCAAAGACUUUGUGUUACUUUCUCAUGGUGUGUAUGUUUGAAUAAAUAUUAAUUUUUGGCUGCAAUACAAUCUGAUUCGAUUAUUGGAACUUUGGUGUGACAAACAUCUCAGGAAUAGCUAAUAUUCUACAUGUUAUGAUGGAGAAUGCGGGCAGGGUUUAAGUCUGUACAGAAAAAAAACUGUUUAAGGUCCUGCAAAAUAAAUGUUAUCAUCCUAAUUUAAAAGAAUGAUGUAUAAAUAUAGUACAGGAGUGUCUUAAAUGUGCUCAAUUUAAUCCAAGACCUAAAGACUAGAAAUCAAAAUUGCAGAGGGUAUCCGUGGCAGAAGGACCAUGGGACCCUAUAUAAAUUGUUUCUAUUAAAAUAUAAAUUGAAAAAAAAUAUGCUUGUAGAUAAAGGGAGUAGUUGGGUAACACAUUUACUAAGAGUAUUAAUAUAUAUUCGUGCAACUCCAAACUCUAAAAUGCAAGUGUCCCCUCAUGACUUAAUGACAGGCAGAACAAUGCCAAUCACUUUCCCCAAUGAAUCUUUUAUUCCAAGUACUUUCAAAGUAGCGUCAGAACAUGUUGAAUAGUUGAAAGUAUUACGGGAACAGCUGCAAUCAGUUUUAAAGUUUGCUGCUUCAAAUAUUGUCCCUUCUGGUAAAAAAUCUGUUAAUGGGAUACUUUAGUGCCACGAAUAUAAAGCUGUAUAACUGGCACUACCGAUCCCUCUGCCUCCCCCCCAUUCCCUGGUAAAUAGAGGCUUAAAAACCCUUUAUUUACUUACCUUAUACCAGCGCCAAUGUCCCUCUGUUCUGGGUGGAAUCUCCGCCUCUCCUCCAUCCCGCGUGCGCAUUAGCCAUCCCCAUAUUAAAGCAUUGAAUCAAUGCUUUACUAUGGGUAAAUUCUGACGCUGGAGGUCCUCAUCCAGAGCGUGGGAUGUCCAGCAUUAGAUAACGAACCAAAAGUCUGUUAUGAUUCUGGAAGCUGAAGUUGUCUGGGUGCCUACAGUGUCCCUUUAAAGAUAUAGCACUGGGAAACUAUGCAUAUACGUUUAAACUAGAGAAUAAGGUGAAGGUAAAAUCGUUUAAAACACCAGAUCCCUUAAAAAGCAAGUUGGAAAAGGUCCUUAUGUUAAUCUAAAAAAAAAAUAGAAUACAGAUUAAAAAAAAUGUUGGUAGAAAAUGUAGUAAGUCAUUUAUUGUGCAUAGUGAUCAAUGUAAACUUACUAAUAAUGUAUAAGAAAUUAAUGUAUAAGCAUAGUAAACUGCCAUUUAUUUAUUUUUUAUUACAGAACCAAUAAUGUUUUUUCAUGGACAAAAACGGUUUUAUUUUAAAAAGGACACACUGUUUGGACUUUCAAAGGACAUUAUGGACAAAGAGAUUGUGCUUGUGGAUUCAAUUAGAGAGGACAUUAUUUCAUGGACUAAAUCAAAUCAAUUUUAUUUUCUGGUUAAUGUAAAAUGUAUACAGUUGCACAGCAUACUAAAAAUUAUACUGUUAUUAAUCAUGUUAGGUACAAUCAAUGCCCAAGGUUAAUUAAUUAAUUUGAGGAAAAAAUUCAAAGUCUAGAUCCAACUACAAUUGUAAUUGCUAAAGAAAAUAGAACUUUGAGAGCAGUUGCUUUCUUCUUGGAUAAAUUAAGGUGGAAGUCCAGAGAGGAGCCUCCGUCUUGGACUCGGUGUAAAAAAAUGAUACAGACAGCUGAAUGCCUCCCAUUUUUCUCAACUGGAAAUGGCAGUGUUAAAAGUCACAGGUCACUAAGGCAGAAUGUAAUGCCUAAAGUUAUUGAUAUCAAAUCAAAAGAGAAAUUUAAUUUGUUGAUUGACAAUUUUGACAGGGAAAAAAAAUGUAGUGAUAAAUCAAUAAAGGCUUUUCCUUAUAAACUGAUAAGACAAAUAAGGACAAUUUCAAUUUAAUGACAGCCAUGUCAUUAAACCAUGUAUGACCUAUCAAGAUAUUGCUCUCUCCUGUUGCUCCCAGCACUCUUUCAGUGUUUCUUUUUCUGGCUCUGCUUCUUCUCCCCAACUCCCCCCUGUUGGUGUCCCCCAAGGUUCAGUCUUUGGUCCUCUAUUGUUCUUUAUCUAUCCUCCCUUGGUAAACACAUUAGCUCCUUUGGCUUCCAAUAUAAUUUCUAUGCAGAUGACACGCAAAUCUGCCUGUCCUCUCCUGAUCUCUCCCUGUCCCUCUUGACUAGUGUCUCUGAUUGCCUCUCUGCUAUUUCUAACUGGAUGGCUGCCCACUUCCUUAAACUCAACUUGACCAGAACUGAAAUUCUGGUCUUACAACCCUCAAGUGUUGCUACUCCUGUGUUUGUCUCCCUCCAAGUCAACGGUGCUACUAUCAGCUCCACCAUGCAGGCUCGCUGCCUAGGUGUUCUCUUUGACUCUGACCUCUCCUUCAUGCCUCAUGCCCAGUCUAUCGCCAAAUCCUGUCAUUUCCAUCUGAAAAACAUUGCGCACAUCCAACCCUACUUAACACCAGAUAUGACUAAGGUGCUGGUCCAUUCCACUGUUCUUUCUCGCCUUGACUACUGUAAUCCACUUCUCAAUGGUCUUACGUGCUCCCAACUUGCACCAUUACAGUCCACAAUAAAUGCAGCGGCGAGUCUCAUCUUCCUGUCUGCCCGCACCUCCAAUGCCUCACCCUUCUGUCAGUCCUUACAUUGGUUUCCUGUAAGAUAUAGGCAGGGGCGGACUGACCGAUCGGGCACUUCGGACAUGAUUGGGGGCGGCAUCUGGGGACUGCAGAACAAGGUGCCACCGGGUGGCCGGUCCGGUGGCACACUUUGAGGGGGCCGACCAUUUCAUGCUGGAGCCGCCGGCCCGGGUGGCAGCCUCGCCGAUCCGGCGGCUUUCCUCUCACUAACACUGAAGGAGGAGGAGGAGCAUGUGUCUGUCAUGCUCCCUGCGGUUCCCACAAUUCCCAGCACAGGAUGUGGGAACCGCAAAGGAGCAUGACAGAGAGAGACAUGCUCCUCCUCCUCCUUCAGCGUUAGUGAGAGGCUGCCACCCGGUCCGGCGGCUCCAGCAUGAAACGGCCAGCCCCCGGCCCCCUCAGGCUUGAGUAAGAGGGGGCAAUAGAGAGAUAGGGAGGGGGGAACAGGAGAAAGAGGGNNNNNNNNNNNNNNNNNNNNNNNNNNNNNNNNNNNNNNNNNNNNNNNNNNNNNNNNNNNNNNNNNNNNNNNNNNNNNNNNNNNNNNNNNNNNNNNNNNNNAGAAAGAGGGGGAACAGAGAGAUGGGGAGGGGGAGAAAGAGGGGGCAAUAGAGAGAUGGGGAGAAAGAGAGGGAAGAAUGAGACACUGGGGGAGACAGAGACAGAGAGGGGAGAAAGAGGGGGAAUAGAGAGAUGGGGAGGGGGGAGAAAGAGGGAAAAAUGAGACACAGGGUGAGAAAGAGAGGGAAUAGANNNNNNNNNNNNNNNNNNNNNNNNNNNNNNNNNNNNNNNNNNNNNNNNNNNNNNNNNNNNNNNNNNNNNNNNNNNNNNNNNNNNNNNNNNNNNNNNNNNNAAUGCUUUGGGGGCACCACUAGGGGGAGUGUGUAGGAAGACAUGUGCUUCUGGUAGUGACAUCACAGGCCAGCCUACUUACACUGAAUAAAACCAGAUGGAGGAGAAAACUCUGUCCCUUUGCCUGUACCUGACUGAACCUAAGAUGUAGUACCAGUUCUGACUUAAGCCCAGCCAAAGAGCUGGGGCCUUGUAAGUAAAAUGAACAUUUAGCAAUUGUAAUAGCCUUUUGUGUAACAUUUAGCAACCUUUUGUAAGUAAUAUGUUGUAGUUUUGUAUUGUAUAAUUAUUGUAGUAAAUUGACAUUCUGCUAGCAUCUGUUUAUUUAUUAUAGUUAUAUAAAAAUAUACAUUUAAUAUUACAACGUUUUGUGUAUUUUCUAUCCACAUAUUCGACCAUAAUACCAUGAAUUAUAACAAUAUUAAUGUUGUUCCGUAUUGCUUAAUUAUUAUGUAUUAAGAGAUUAAUAUUCAUAUUUAGGUCACGACCACAACAUUUGGCGUAGUCGGCAGGAUUAUGCUUGAAUAUUGGGGAAAAUAUAAAUGUUAUGCAUUUUGCUUAAAUCAUACUGUAAAUUGUCUGUCUGUAUACAAAUGAAUAAAUGAAUGAUGAUUUGGUUUUAAUGGAAUGAAUGCAGAUAGCAAAUAGGGAUUAGAUAUUUGUUUUUAAUGUAUCUCUUGCUGUAGAACAUAGUGAUGAAUUAUUGUGUUGCUUGUCACCAAUCUUUGGUCAUUUGUAUAUAGGAGAAAACUUAUGUAUACUUUACCUUUUGUCUGACCAUGUGGAUUUUAAUCCACCAUUGACCACAUGAUGUGCAUGAGUUGAGGCCUAGUUUCAUUGUUUGCUACCAUUUGCAUAGGAAAAGACUUUUCACUAAACUAGUUCACCAGGUUUUAUUGCUAAAUUUGACCCUGUUUGUGUACUAAUUUACAUUUGUUUGGCAUUCAUGGAUUUGUCUAGUUGAAAAGAGAUUUGGACAAAAUGUAUUAAAUUAGUAGUUAAGAAAAAGAUACGUUUAGUAAAGCAGAUUCAGUGAAUAAUAGAUUUAUGUGUGCGUAUACACAGAAUAUUAGUAUAAAUAUAUAUGAUUUUGACUCAUGAAGGAGAGACCACCUUUUUAACAGCUGUGUGACCAUGCUUUUCAGCUACAGCUGGGGGAGAAUUUGUCCUUGUUGGGGGUGGGUAGUCUUGCUGUAUGAGAAAAAAUAAACUGCAUUGUUUUGUAAAUUUAAUUGCCUAAACUAAUCAAUUUGUGGAGUGUUUUUCAGCUUUAUUAUCCAGGACUAAGGAAUUACUGGACAUAUGCAGGAACUGGUAACAAAUGGACUGAAAAAAUGGUAAAAUAAUUCCUUUGUCCUAUUUAGUCUGAAUAUUUUAACAAGUUAGCAUUUUUAACAAAGUAAGUGUAGGGGCUCAGAUUAAGAUUUAUAUUAUUUUAGAAGCCAUCUAUAACUGAUUUUAAUAUUUCCAUGCUUUGAAUUAGGGUGUAUCUGCCUAGCGGGUGAACCUCCAUAACGUGGGCUGUGAUUUUAGUUACAGUGGCGGGUGGGGAACCUGAGCUAGGGGGUAUUUAAACGUGUCCGGAUAAGGGGGAGCAUACCCAAUAGUUGUUGUGCAGUUCUAUCCUGUAUUAUUAUUUGAAACCCUGUAUUACUUAUAAGUAGCGUUUUGUAACUUAUUUGUAAUUGUUUAUAUAUAUUGCUCUGGGAAAGGGAUAGGCAAAAUCUCUGAGAGACCAGGAAAUAUAUUUAAAAAAGGGCGUAUUACACUAGUGGUAGGGUGGCCUAUCAUGACCAUAGAGACCCUUGGUGACUAGUUUUUGUUGUAUAUUGCCCUGGGAAGGGGAUACGCUAUUUAAUAGAAAUUCCUGAGAGACCAGGAAAUAUACAAUAAGUGAUACGUGAGUGUACUGGUUAAAUUGCAGACAUAUUGGCCCAGAACCUUUAAUCGAGCCGGAAAAGAGGCUGCUGUAUGUUUGCUCCUCUAUAAUUUUGCGGGGGCAGUCACCCCCAUGCGGAAAGCCACUGCCAUCACAGGGUGGUUAGUUGUGCAGGCCCUUAGCCGCGAGGUGCAAGCAUGUCCGUGGAAAGGCUAGAAAUUAAUAGGGAGUCACUCAUAGCUGUCAGAAGUGUUGAACUUUGAGACAUAUUGACCUAUAUCCUUUCAGAGGCGGAAGAGGUGUUGUGGUUCACUCCUCUAUAAUUUAACCAAAGGGUGGAGAGUUAUUAAACAUGUUUAGGUUGGCUAGAAAUGUGUUUCCUGAAUUGCAGAGAAGAUGCAGAAAGCAGCUAUUAGCUUAUUGUUUUUUAAGAGCCUUGUAAAAAAAAAAAAAAAAAUUAAGAAUGUUAUCUUGUUGAAAAAAAUUGUUUAUAAAAUGAAAAGCUGAAGGAAUGUGUUUACAUGUCUGUGUGUGUGUGUAUAUAUAUAUAUAUAUAUAUAUAUAUAUAUAUAUUCUAAGUAAAAUAUUUGCAGUAUACUCUAUAAGUGACUAGGAAAGUAAUCCUGAUCUGUUUCCUAACCUUUUCAGAUGUAGCAGAAACCAGAGGUGGACAUUGGAACACAGAUAGAAUAUCAGAUGGAGACCAGUGUUUAAAUGUUGACCUUUGAUGAGCUAUUGAGUGUUUUAUUUUAUUGUCUAUUUAACAUGUCUAUGCUAUGAUUUUGUGCAUACUAUUCUCUUAUUUCUAGUGAUUGUAUUGCAAUUGAAACCCUUAUGUAUUAUUGUUGUAUGUAUGUAUGUACGCUUGCCUGGGAAAGGGGGGAAUUGACCCAUAGGGACCAGGGGGUAUUUUUGUGUAAACCAAACUGGGGUGGGAGGGCUCUAACGAGGGAACCCCAUUGUCCAGUAGGUGCUUGAUUUGUGUCUGUGUAAAGUGCAUGAGUGGUUGCAGUACAAAAAAAAACAAAAAAAAAAACGGAAGAAUGAUAAGAGGGAUAAGAGAAAGUAGGCAUUUUGGGUUAUCUAUACAUGUUUAAAUAGAAGGGUGGUAAAUAGGAAUGUAAUUGUUUUGGUUAAUGUUUAGAUUAAAUUGGUUAAAUACAGCAGUGAUAACGAGUGUUUAGAUUAAAUUGGUAAAUGCAGCAGUAAUAACGAGUGUUUGGGUUAAAUUGGUAGAUACAGCAGUGAUAUUGUGUUUAUCUGUGAAUCAGGAGUGUGCUGGAUGUGAAGAGAGGUGUGUAGGUAUUUAUCCAAACGCCAUAGGAAAAAAUAUGGUUAAGACACCACAGUCAAAUGGUACUUGUGAUGAUUGGCACAGUUAUUAUUUAUGUUUGUGUUCGUCAUUGCCUGUGUUUUCAUUCAAGAACUUUCAAGCAAGGAUAUUUUAAGCAGAAGAAGGAGAAGCACUGGACACUAUGCUCAACUGUUGCUGUAAGGAGAAAUAUUGCUAAGAGUGGUGAGAGUCAGAACAAAAUGCAUCAGGAGCAGGAAACUUUUACGUCAAGGUGGUUAAUGGUAUAAAGAAAGAAAAAACAAAACAAUGUGACCACAAACACACAAAAGUCCUUGAUCGCAUGAACUGUUUCAUUCAUCCCUGUCUCCAUGCGUAUGUUCUAUGAGACUGUCGAAGAAUAGAGUAUUCCAGUUUCCAGGACUAAUGUUUCUGAAAACUCCAGGCACACAGACCAGCCAGAGGCUACAGAAAUCGAGUCGGUCUGUGCCAUGAUUCAUAGGUGUUAUGAGUUUGCGGUGUCUAAUACUAUAUUAAGCUCCAGAACACAUCCUCACAUGAACACAAUAUCAUUGGUUAAUCUAAUAAAACAUGGUUUGAGUUGUUCAUUAUUAUAAGGGUGGGUAUGUGCCUGUUUCCCAACUGGUAAUGCAUGUGCUCAAUGGUGAACAUUUAUAUAAGCAAUAAAAUGUUAAUGGGUAAUAAUUAAUGGGUAAAUGGGUAUCGUUCUUCAAAAGGUGGGUUUUGUUGUAGGGCAGGUAGUGUUAAAAUGGGGGAAAAUUCAAAAUGUACUGGUUUUAUAAAUGCUUGUUUUAUGACAUAAGUCAAAGGGUGGUUUGUAAUGGUAUUUAUUAAUUAAUGACUUUACAUCAUAAAGAAAGCAUAUUUAGUGUAAUGCUUUGGGGGCACCACUAGGGGGAGUGUGUAGGAAGACAUGUGCUUCUGGCAGUGACAUCACAGGCCAGCCUACUUACACUGAAUAAAACCAGAUGGAGGAGAAAACUCUGUCCCUUUGCCUGUACCUGACUGAACCUAAGAUGUAGUACCAGCUCUGACUUAACCCCAGCCAAAGGGCUGGGGCCUUGUAAGUAAAAUGAACAUUUAGCAAUUGUAAUAGCCUUUUGUGUAACAUUUAGCAACCUUUUGUAAGUAAUAUGUUGUAGUUUUGUAUUGUAUAAUUAUUGUAGUAAAUUGACAUUCUGCUAGCAUCUGUUUAUUUAUUAUAGUUAUAUAAAAUAUACAUUUAAUAUUACAACGUUUUGUGUAUUUUCUAUCCACAUAUUCGACCAUAAUACCAUGAAUUAUAACAAUAUUAAUGUUGUUCCGUAUUGCUUAAUUAUUAUGUAUUAAGAGAUUAAUAUUCAUAUGUAGGUCACGACCACAACAUUGUGGAACUCACUUCCCUCCUCUGUUAGAUGCUCACCCAGUCUCCACUCCUUCAAAAAAAAUCAUUAAAAACCCUGUUCUUCAUAAAAGCGUAUCAAUUAAACUGUUAAUAGCUCCUGACUAAUUCUUCUCUUGCAACUGUCAUUAGUCUAAUACUAUCCUUACCUUUUGUGUCACUUUACCCCACUCCCUCCAGCAUGUAAACUCAUUGAGCAGGGCCCUCAACCUCUCUGUUCCUGUGUGUCCAAUUUGUCUGGUUACAACUACAUGUUUGUUCGCCCACCCACUGUAAAGCUUUGCAGAAUUUGUUGGCACUUUAUAAAUAAUAACAUAAUAAUAAUAAUAAGUCUAUUGAUGGAAGAAUGGUAUCAUUAAUAUUACCAAAGAUUUUACAUAUAUAAUGCAAAUUAAUAUAGGUAAUUGAUAACGAUUCACCUGAAAUACAAAACACCUUAGUGCAUAUACAUCCCGUGCAAGGGAUGGGUAAAAGCAUAAAACAUGAAUACAUUUCAGAAACCAAAUCAUGGGGUAACGGUGGUUUGGGGGACACAAGACAGGAUUAGUAUGGGUUUAUUACACAUCAUUUAGUAAUUUUAAUGAUUAUAAUUAAGAUGUUAUUCUUCUUUAGUUGGCAUAUGUGUAAAAGAGUAAAUCGUAUACAGUCUCAAAUGGUAGACGUUGAAUACAGAUGUAAAUAUCUGACAACAAAGUUAGAAUCCUAUAAGGAAUUGGAGUAAGUUAUUAUGAUGCAUUACAUUUUUAAAAGUAUCACGGGGGGGGAUGAAAUAUAUUUAAUGAACUUUAAAUAUCUGAUGUGUUGUAGAAUUUUAUCUUUGUGAUAUUAAUAUUAUCAUUUUUGUAUUAGUUGAAAUUCAUUUAAUUUCAAAGUAUUUUCAGACACAAUAACUGAGAGACCUUAUUCAUCUGUAUAUCAUUGGUCGCCACAUAUGGUUCUUGUUGAGAUAAUGAUUGAUGGAGGCCUGUUGAUAUUAACCUUUAACCCAGCAUUGCAAACCAGACUCCCAUGUGUAUUAGACUUCCAUUGCAAGUCAGACUCCCAUGUGUAUAAAAUAUUUGCAGAUGGAAAUUCCUCACCAAUACUUUUAACAACAAAAUUGGAUACUAUCUUGCUAAGUGCUUACAACUAGGAGAGAAUUGCAGUAAAUUAAAAAUAUAUAUAUUUUUCUUCAGAAUAUGGGGCUGUAGAUCUGCAAAUCCCAGUUACAAAGGACACACCACUGAUGCUGCUAACUCAUUACUGCCCAUGAUUUUCAUAGACACAUACUGAUAUAAAAUACAUGUGAUUUUAUUUUGAAAAUACUUUUUGACAUAUAUGCUAAAGUAAAUACACUUUCAAUGUUAAAUUCAUGUUUCAUCUGCAUUUCUUAAAUUAAUUUGUAUUUUUUCCUUUACUACCAUCUAAAUUAAUCACGAUUUAUUGAGAAGGUAGAAAAUUACAAAGACUAGAGCUAGAAGUAAAAACCAUAAAGAGCCAUAAGCCCAUUAUAGUAAUUAAAAUAUCACCCAUCAGUGUCAUGUUAUUUGCCUUCUUUUGUCAUGUUAUAUGUCUCCCGUGUCUGUUUAUAUUUCUAAUGUUGUUCUCCUUUCAGAAUAAUUAAUUGACAUUUCAAUACCUAACCUUCUUUUCCCUGUAAAAGCCGUCUUUUUUCUCUAAUCAGAUCUUGAUUUUUGAGUCCUAAUUAACUAGUCUCUGGUUGUUUCCUCUAGCCCUCUCUGGGCUUGGAAGCAACUAGCCUCUCCCACCUACCCCCACAUUGUUGAUUCCCUUUGGUACACUGCUUUAGAGCCAAGUUUCCAAAUUUGAUUCUCAGAUUGUCCUACAUAUCAAAUUGCUACAAUGGGAAUGGAAAUUACUUGGACUGAAUAAAUGAACAUCAGAUUGCCCAUUUUUACCCCACAUUCUCCAUAUUUAUUACAAACUCAGAUUCUGAAUUGGAUUGUGAUAGCGCCAUAACUAUUUGGCCAUGGUACCUUCUCUUAGAACUGUUUAUUGAUGUUGGCAUUUUGAAUAAGUAUGAUCUGUGUUUUAAAACCCUUUAAUUAUCAUCAUUUAAAUGUAAACCUCAUAGCAUUACAUAUUAAUUUCAACUCUUUGAUAUUGUUUAUGUUUGUUGAAUAUCCAAUUAUUGUUUUAGUAACCUUUAACUUAAUUUGGCAGUAAAAAAAAGAAAGAGUGCUUUCUGCACUGAUUUCUUCGUUCCUAUUCCUUUAUAUCUACCAAGUUUUAUAUUGUGAUUUGUUAGUUUAAAAGGGAGAACAUAACAAUCAGUUACAAGUGUUUAUACUUGAUAUAGAAAGUCUGAGAGAGAGUAUGACAUGAAAAUAAGCUGCACUAUAGGCUGAGAAUAAAGUGCUACUCAAUACAAAGAAACAAUACUAGUACUGUAAAAAAUAAAUAUAAUAAAACUAAGAAUAAACCAUCAUAGACAGAAAUUAUCUCUAGUUACUCCUCCGUGGUAACAUAUGAGCAAUUAAAAUAGUCAUUUGAUUUUCAGAUAUUAGCUAAUAGCACUCAAAUGGACCUCACAAGUCCCUCAAAUGUACCUCAUAAGGUAGGGCUCCUGUGAAACUGCAAUAAUAUUGCAAAGUAAGUGCACAAACAAAGUCAAUUGAGUUAUCUUUUCCAUGUCCUACAAAUGGGUAGAUCUUGUUGUAACCCCUCCAGGAUUAUUAAUGUACAGUGGAAAUAUCCCUAGUCUUCUUAGGAAAGCAUUCACUUCUGACAAGUACCUAAUAUAUUGCAUGGAAUCCUCAUGUGUGAUCAUGGGAGAUUUAGAAUGUGAUGCCUUAGGGUCUCAGACUUAUGGUCAUGCUUCAAUAAUUGUACCCAGGCCAGAGUUGUUUGUGUCAAAUUAAAUGUUAGAAAAUGGGCUUAAAAAGAAUAUUGUGACUGUUCUCAGACAGUCAGGAAUUGUACGAAUACAUAAAACAAAGUCUCUAUGUAAGAUUUUCAGUGGCUUAGGAAACUUAUUCUAAGUUACCUCCACCCACCUACAUGUAAUUUUAGAGGUUACAAUACUGUUUAAAUAGUAUUUUCUUGUAAAAGUCGGUGGGUGCUAAAUGUUGCCUUGUUUUGCAAUUUUUUUUGUUUAUUUCUUACAUUCAAAGCAUGUGCUUUUGCAUAAACAUAAAUCUGCUAUGACAAAUCUUACUCUACAGCUUGAAGUAUAAACAGUCUAACUUAGCCUAAUUAAGGAAAUUAGAAAUUAUGGUAGCUCACAAAAACAAUCUACACAUUGUACAUGUUCCAAUUAAAUAUGAACAUGUACAUGAAUUGAUCUUUCAGAUAUAUGAAUCCUGAGAGUCAGUGAAUGUUCUGUGUUGUUAAAUGCUUAUUCAAAUUCAGCAGUUUCUGUAGAGUGUUCACAUGUCAAGCGUGAAAGGUUGUAGUUGGAUGUCAUAUUUCUUCCAUCAUUCUAACUCACAAAUAUUCUCUAUUACCUUUGACCUAUACAUAUAGGACAUACACACACACACACACAUAUAUAACAAAUGUUAUUUAUUUAUUUAUAAGAAUGUAGUAUAUUCUGUACAGAAAGCAUUAAAAAAAAAAAUCAUACCUGAAAACACCAUAGAUAUUAUUUGAUACAUGACAGUGUUGUUGAAAGGAUGUUUUCAUUUUUCUUUUAAGAAAUACCUUUACUUUUUUUUUGUCAAACCAUUUAGUAAAAUAAGUAUUUUGUCUGUCACAACUCCACCUUUCUGAGGGACUAUAGUGGAAAAAUAAUAUAAUUCACCUUAUUACUUAUUCAUUAUUUGUUUUUAUAAGAACCAUUGUUAGAAUAAUAACUCAUUUACUGAACUGUGGUUUAAAAUAACUUAGUAAAAUGUAUAUGACCACAACAAAAAUAGAAAAUGAAAUAAAUAUAGACCUUAAAGAUAAUUAUUUAAAGCUUUUAUUAUAUUCUUAAUGACAUGCUGAUUUAGCAAUUAAUACAACUUAUUAGAAAAAGUGAAGUCUCCUGAAUGAGCCAAUUCUUGGGCUUAUGGCACCCCAGUCAGUAUAUUUUCUGUACUCUCCAGGUCUAAGAUAAUACUGGCGGCCCCUGUAAUUUGGUUCCUCGUAGAACAUCCAGUAGCCAUCAAGUACCUGGCAGGAGUGGAUGUCAUGGUAACGGAAUCUCUCGUUGACAUUAGGACAAUCUUCAGUAAACUCCAUCAUCUGACCUUGAAAAUCUUCCCUCUCAUAGACCUUCACUCUGAAUGAUCCAUGGUGCUUUAUGAAUAAAAAAUAUUUAUAAACAAGAGUACAAUGAUUAUAUAACUUCAUAUAAACAUCAAAAAUCUAUACAAUAGUAUAGAUUUUUGUAUCAAUGUUAACCCCCCCCCCGUUACCUGACAAUGGAAUUGUGAAUUGAAGAUAUAUUCCAUAACAUAAUUAAUAAUGGUAACAAAAGGAUAUAUUUGCAAAGGUAAAACAAUAAUUAAUUGAUAAUUGGGAAAUAAUUUUUUUUGGACUGAAUCAUAAUAUUUUUAUAAUAUGCUCUGGUUAAUAUAUUUACCUGUGGGCUAAUACGGCAAGAUCUGAUGGAGUCAUUGAAACCCAUCCAUUGCUGGAAAUUAGGAUAUUCUCCCCUGCUUAGGUAAUACUGGUGUCCUCUAUAGUUGGGGUGCUCAUACAGGAUCCAGUUUCCACUUUCCACUCGGACAGAAUUACAGCGAUGAAAAUAUGAGGACAUAUCUGGACACUCAGAGUUGCACUCAUAAGAGCGGCCCUGGAAGUUACGAUCCUCGUAGAAAACAAUCU